RNAcentral lists this small nucleolar RNA (181 nucleotides) under Echinops telfairi (small Madagascar hedgehog). RNAcentral describes it as "Small nucleolar RNA SNORA73 family (ENSETEG00000024050.1)". It matches the Rfam family "Small nucleolar RNA SNORA73 family". From Rfam's summary of the family: U17 (SNORA73A and SNORA73B) also known as E1 belongs to the H/ACA class of small nucleolar RNAs (snoRNAs). Vertebrate U17 is intron-encoded and ranges in length from 200-230 nucleotides, longer than most snoRNAs. The record is from RNAcentral. Lineage: Eukaryota; Metazoa; Chordata; Mammalia; Afrosoricida; Tenrecidae.
CCAAUGUGGAUCAUUCUGGGAGGCCAUUCUCCUCUGUCCAGGUGGCAUGGGGAGCUCAGGGCUCUGCCCCAUGAUGUGCAGGCCUUUUCCACAGGGUCGGAGAUAAAGCCGGGCAUAUUCCUGCAGUGCCCCAGAGUCCUGUGGACAGUGUCUGAAGAGACACACCAUGCAGGAAAUAACC